CCUACGGGAGGCAGCAGUGAGGAAUAUUGGUCAAUGGGCGCGCGCCUGAACCAGCCAAGUAGCGUGAAGGAUGACUGCCCUACGGGUUGUAAACUUCUUUUAUAAAGGAAUAAAGUGAGCCACGUGUGCCUUUUUGGAGGUACUUUGUAAAUAAGGCUCGGCUAACUCCGUGCCAGCAGCCGCGGUAAUACGGAGGAUGCGAGCGUUAUCCGGGUUUAUUGGGUUUAAAGGGGGCGUAGGCGGACUGGUAAGUCAGCGGUAAAAGCCCGGGGCUCAACCCCGGCGAGCCGUUGAAACUGGCUGUCUUGAGAUGGCGAGAGGUAUGCGGAAUGCGUAGUGUAGCGGUGAAAUGCUUAGAUAUUGCGCAGAACUCCGAUUGCGAAGGCAGCAUACCGGCGGCGAUCUGACGCUGAGGCACGAAAGCGUGGGUAUCGAACAGGAUUAGAUACCCUGGUAGUC
RNAcentral lists this ribosomal RNA (459 nucleotides) under uncultured bacterium. Its description in RNAcentral is "partial 16S ribosomal RNA". It matches the Rfam family "Bacterial small subunit ribosomal RNA", at positions 338 to 795 of the family's 1533-position model. The record is from RNAcentral.